This 253-nucleotide ribosomal RNA is filed under the name uncultured bacterium. Its description in RNAcentral is "partial 16S ribosomal RNA". It matches the Rfam family "Bacterial small subunit ribosomal RNA", at positions 524 to 776 of the family's 1533-position model. The record is from RNAcentral.
UACGAAGGGGGCUAGCGUUGCUCGGAAUUACUGGGCGUAAAGCGCACGUAGGCGGCUUUCUAAGUCGGGGGUGAAAUCCUGGAGCUCAACUCCAGAACUGCCUUCGAUACUGGAGAGCUUGAGUCCGGGAGAGGUGAGUGGAACUCCGAGUGUAGAGGUGAAAUUCGUAGAUAUUCGGAAGAACACCAGUGGCGAAGGCGGCUCACUGGCCCGGUACUGACGCUGAAAUACGAAAGCGUGGGGAGCAAACGGG